UUUUCGUGUCUUUAUUUUUCAGUUCAGACUGAGUUCUUAUUCUAUGUUGGUUUUAGAAUGUUUCGCGUACUACUUCCUUUUACUACUUCUUUUCUCAGUUUCAAGUAUAGUUUAUACCAGAAGUGACUGAUCAGACUGAAUUAUUAUUUGAUAUAGUUAAAUAUGCCAGCAGUGACUGGUCUGACUGAGUUUUCAUUAUUGGAGAUUGGCUUGGAAAUGAUGUUUCAUGUUCGACUCACUUCACAUUUGUUUCUUCUUUAUAUUCUUCAAAGGCUUCAUUUAAAUUGGUUGUGUUCAUUUCAGUGCUCGAGUGGUCAAGUUUUGGUUGUUUGAUGUGUAAUUUUGUUUGAGAACUCUCUUUGUUGUACAUUUGUCCGCCAAAGAUUUGUCGAGCUAAGAUAUGUGGGCGUAGUUUGAGCCACUGGGCGUCUGAAGAGGGAGCAAGUUCCACUUUGCCAGCAUCUGGUUGUGGCUGUCCAUAUUGUGUUGUGCUUUUCAGCACAACACAACAUGUCUCCACCAAUAGUGCAGGAUGCUGAUCGAUCUCUGAUGGCUCUUUCUGGGUUUUCGGCACUUACGCUCCAGAAGGUUUGUCAGCAGAUAGCUGCUGCCUUCCCAGCUGGUAACCAGGACCAAUCUGGUACCCCAUUGUUGGCUGUGCCCUGGUACCCAGCCCCCUUGCUGACCCACCCUUGAACUCUGCAGCUGGUGUUGUAGAUUCAAUGUAUGAUGUGUACUGAAGUGACUGAUUAUGUUAUCAGUUGACCUUUUUGAAAAUGUUUCGUAUACAUUUGACUUUACAGUAUUUGUUAAAUUCUUUUUUCAGUUUUGUGGUUCAGUUGAUACUGAUCAUACUGACAUUGACUGAUCAUACUAAGUUUUUAUCAUGCGAGUUUUUUAGUAUAAUUUAUACCUCAAAGAUACUCCAUGAAAAUUAAUUAAAAUGGCUGAUUGGGCUUGGUCAAGAGGUGUGGCGUCCAAAAAUGCACCUGAUUUGAGAAAAGGGAUAAUAUACCAGAAGUGACUGAUCAGACAGAGCUCUUAUCGUUUGAGUCUAGAUUUUAAGUGCUAUUUCACAUUCAACUCACUUCUUUACUUGUUCUUUCUUUCUCAGUUUUAUGAAAUGCUUUAGAAUACCAGAAGUUACUGAAUUCAGACUAAGUUCUUAUCAUGGGAGAUUGGUUUGGAAAUGUUUCAUUUUCCUUUCACUUCACAUUUAAAAUUUUUUUCUAGUUUCAAAUGGUGUAUACCUAAUCUGAUUAAUUAAUAGAGCAUUUGAAAGCUGUUUUAGAAUAACGUUUAGUGUACUUUCAACUUCUUACAAUUUGUUACUUUUUUAAGUUUCAUGGUACAGUUUAUAGCAGGAGUGACUGAUGAAAUUGAGUUCUUUUCAUUUGAGAUUAUUUUUUGAAAUAGUGUUUAAUGUUAGACUCACUUUUAAUUUCUGUCUUCUUUUCUCGGUUUCAUUGU
Molecule: long non-coding RNA, 1470 nt
Organism: Amphimedon queenslandica
Lineage: Eukaryota; Metazoa; Porifera; Demospongiae; Haplosclerida; Niphatidae
Exons: 6
Source: RefSeq, a predicted model, not a curated record